GACCUGUAGCCAGAGAUCCUGCUGAGCCUGAGGACGGUGGCAACUUUGGCACAGGACUUGAUGAGGGCURGGAGGGCAUGGAAGAGGUGGCGUGAAUACCCUGAUAUCAUUGGCAUUUUCAUGUAUGCAAUCUUGGCCUUGUUGCACGCUUGCAUGCCUGCAUGAGCCGCUCAAAUGCCGCAUGGGACAAGAGUUGGCAAGAUGUGGGUUGUGUGCACUGACCCAGAAAGUGGCUUAAAUGUGCACGUAAAAGUGGGGUUUGAAGCAUGUCURAAGAAGGGAGUGAAAAAUCAGACCAYGUCCGUUUGCCACGAAACUCGGUGUGCAGGGUUUUCURGGGGUGGUGAUUCCGAUUCUGGGCACCAUUUUUGAUAUCUUGGAUUGUUACAUGUUGUGUUUGUAAGUGUUCUUUUGCUGGUGCAGGCCUCUAGGCUGUAUGACRAGUAGAGCAAUGGCAAAUGGCAUGCACCUACURUAUUUGCAGGCUGAGCGCAAUCACGAUGUCCGCCGCGAACAAGACAAAAAGAAAGAAAGGCGGGACAGGAACUGGAAGGAGGCUGGGAGAUGAAUGAAGGAGGACAUGCUGCGCAUGAGCCCCCAAGAUGCAAAGUGGCGGGCAGAAGGGGCUGCUCGCAUGCAGGAAGUUGUGCAAGCCAGAGUUGAUGAAAGUUGGAAGCACCACACAGCACGCCAUAAAACAUGGCUGUUGGUAGAUCGCCCACAGGCAUGUCAUU
This 734-nucleotide long non-coding RNA is filed under the name Dunaliella salina. RNAcentral describes it as "long non-coding RNA (DSAL_LNC000362)". The record is from RNAcentral. Lineage: Eukaryota; Viridiplantae; Chlorophyta; Chlorophyceae; Chlamydomonadales; Dunaliellaceae.